AGUGAACGCUGGCGGUAGGCCUAACACAUGCAAGUCGAACGGCAGCACAGUAAGAGCUUGCUCUUACGGGUGGCGAGUGGCGGACGGGUGAGGAAUACAUCGGAAUCUACUUUUUCGUGGGGGAUAACGUAGGGAAACUUACGCUAAUACCGCAUACGAUCUACGGGUGAAAGCAGGGGAUCUUCGGACCUUGCGCGAUUGAAUGAGCCGAUGUCGGAUUAGCUAGUUGGCGGGGUAAAGGCCCACCAAGGCGACGAUCCGUAGCUGGUCUGAGAGGAUGAUCAGCCACACUGGAACUGAGACACGGUCCAGACUCCUACGGGAGACAGCAGUAGGGAAUAUUGGACAAUGGGCGCAAGCCUGAUCCAGCCAUACCGCGUGAGUGAAGAAGGCCUUCGGGUUGUAAAGCCCUUUUGUUAGGAAAGAAAAGCAGCAGGUUAAUACCCCGCUGUUCUGACGGUACCCAAAGAAUAAGCACCGGCUAACUUCGUG
Molecule: ribosomal RNA, 492 nt
Filed under: uncultured bacterium
Lineage: Bacteria
Description: partial 16S ribosomal RNA
Rfam family: Bacterial small subunit ribosomal RNA
Source: RNAcentral